AAAGAAACCAACAGGGAUGCCCUAGUAACGGCGAGUGAAGCGGCAACAGCUCAAAUUUGAAAUCUGGCCCUCGGGUCCGAGUUGUAAUUUGUAGAGGAUGCUUUUGGUGAGGUGCCUUCCGAGUUCCCUGGAACGGGACGCCAUAGAGGGUGAGAGCCCCGUCUGGUUGGACACCGAGCCUCUGUAAAGCUCCUUCGACGAGUCGAGUAGUUUGGGAAUGCUGCUCUAAAUGGGAGGUAUAUGUCUUCUAAAGCUAAAUACCGGCCAGAGACCGAUAGCGCACAAGUAGAGUGAUCGAAAGAUGAAAAGCACUUUGAAAAGAGAGUUAAAAAGUACGUGAAAUUGUUGAAAGGGAAGCGCUUAUGACCAGACUUGGGCUUGGUUGAUCAUCCUGGGUUCUCCCUGGUGCACUCUUCCAGUUCAGGCCAGCAUCAGUUCGCUGCGGGGGAUAAAAGUUUUGGGAAUGUGGCUCCUCCGGGAGUGUUAUAGCCCAUUUCAUAAUACCCUGCUCCGGACUGAGGUUCGCGCAUCUGCAAGGAUGCUGGCGUAAUGGUCAUCAGCGACCCGUCUUGAAACACGGACCAAGGAGUCGUCUUCGUAUGCGAGUGUUCGGGUGUUAAACCCCUACGCGUAAUGAAAGUGAACGCAGGUGAGAGCUUCGGCGCAUCAUCGACCGAUCCUGAUGUUCUCGGAUGGAUUUGAGUAAGAGCAUACGGGGCCGGACCCGAAAGAAGGUGAACUAUGCCUGUAUAGGGUGAAGCCAGAGGAAACUCUGGUGGAGGCUCGCAGCGGUUCUGACGUGCAAAUCGAUCGUCAAAUAUGGGCAUGGGGGCGAAAGACUAAUCGAACCUUCUAGUAGCUGGUUUCCGCCGAAGUUUCCCUCAGGA
This 887-nucleotide ribosomal RNA is filed under the name Calonectria candelabrum. RNAcentral's name for it is "eukaryotic LSU rRNA". It matches the Rfam family "Eukaryotic large subunit ribosomal RNA", at positions 58 to 978 of the family's 3401-position model. Lineage: Eukaryota; Fungi; Ascomycota; Sordariomycetes; Hypocreales; Nectriaceae. The record is from RNAcentral.